This 561-nucleotide ribosomal RNA is filed under the name Naganishia albida. RNAcentral describes it as "eukaryotic LSU rRNA". It matches the Rfam family "Eukaryotic large subunit ribosomal RNA", at positions 88 to 655 of the family's 3401-position model. Lineage: Eukaryota; Fungi; Basidiomycota; Tremellomycetes; Filobasidiales; Filobasidiaceae. The record is from RNAcentral.
GGCGAGUGAGCGGGAAGAGCUCAAAUUUGAAAUCUGGUAGCCUUCGGUUGCCCGAGUUGUAAUCUAGAGAAGUGUUUUCCGUGCCGGCCCAUGUACAAGUCCCUUGGAACAGGGCGUCAUAGAGGGUGAGAAUCCCGUCCUUGACAUGGACCCCCGGUGCUUUGUGAUACACUUUCAACGAGUCGAGUUGUUUGGGAAUGCAGCUCAAAAUGGGUGGUGAAUUCCAUCUAAAGCUAAAUAUUGGCGAGAGACCGAUAGCGAACAAGUACCGUGAGGGAAAGAUGAAAAGCACUUUGGAAAGAGAGUUAAACAGUACGUGAAAUUGUUGAAAGGGAAACGAUUGAAGUCAGUCAUGCUCUUGGGACUUACCUCCCUUGAGUGGGGUCAACAUCAGUUUUGAUCGAUGGAUAAAGGCACGGGGAAGGUAGCACUCUCGGGUGAACUUAUAGCCUCGCGUCAUAUACAUUGAUUGGGACUGAGGAACGCAGCAUGCCUUAUGGCCGGGAUUCGUCCACGUACAUGCUUAGGAUGUUGACAUAAUGGCUUUAAACGACCCGUCUU